UGAUUUUUCCCGAGGUUGCACUCUUUUGCUCUCUUUUUCCCCUGAAUUUUCACUAAGUCCAAUUUCUUCAUACUUAGCUAUUUUUUCCUCAUUCUUUGGUCUUUCUUCUUCAUUUUAUCUCAUCUUUCACUUGUUUUGAUAUGAUUCUUCGACUAAAUUCAUGCAAUAACGGACUGUCAUGAGUUUACAACAUUUAUGUCAGGCCAUAUUAAUUGUCAUUCUUUU
This 225-nucleotide long non-coding RNA is filed under the name Lathyrus oleraceus (garden pea). Its description in RNAcentral is "Pisum sativum (pea) long non-coding RNA (PSAT_LNC002510)". The record is from RNAcentral. Lineage: Eukaryota; Viridiplantae; Streptophyta; Magnoliopsida; Fabales; Fabaceae.